Molecule: ribosomal RNA, 693 nt
Filed under: Triticum aestivum (bread wheat)
Lineage: Eukaryota; Viridiplantae; Streptophyta; Magnoliopsida; Poales; Poaceae
Description: partial small subunit ribosomal RNA
Source: RNAcentral
AUGGAGGGUAGAGAAGUGAUUUUAAACUCUGGGAAUAUAGCCAGAAUCUGGAAUGACCCCAUUAGGGGUGAUGCUCCCUUGCGUACUAAGUUUCCGGCUUUAUUCAGCAUAUGUAAUUAUCAGGAGAUUACUGUUGCUGAAUUUAAAAACUUUGAGGAUAGUGAUCUUUUUAGAAGGAACCUUCAUCCUCCCCUUACAGAUCAGUGGAACGAUCUUGUUAAGGUGGUUAACUCUUGGCAUUUAUCCGAUGAGACGGAUCAUAUUAGCUGGAGGUUGGGGGAAAAGGGUAAAUUCUCGACCAAAUCGGUCUAUACCUAUUUGGAGAGAACCCUAGCGGGGUGUAACUUCAGAUGGAUAUGGAAAGCAAAAAUCCCUCUUAAGAUUCAGAUCUUUCUUUGGCAAUUGUUCCAAGAUGCGGUUUUGACUCGAGAUGUCAUGAAAAGACGUAGAUGGGCAGGAAAUCCUAAGUGCUCGUUCUGCAAUGAGGUGGAAACCUCGCACCACCUCUUCUUUACUUGUCCUGUUGCUCGGGUGGUUUGGAGAACGGUUGGGGGUGUGUUAGGCACAUUGUUGUGUCCAAACAACCUUUGGCAGUACUUCUCCUGGUGUUACAUCUUCCUUCCUGAUGGGGCUAAAUUUUAUACUUUUGGACUGACAGCUAUAUGCUGGGCAAUUUGGAUCAGUCGCAAUUAG